This is a non-coding RNA of Equus caballus (horse), 2378 nucleotides long. NCBI's taxonomy places the organism in Eukaryota, Metazoa, Chordata, Mammalia, Perissodactyla, Equidae. The record is from RefSeq and is a predicted model, not a curated record.
GCCAAGCGGAGUUCGCAAACUUAGCCACUCGGCCACGGGGCUGGCCCCAGGAAUAUUUUUUGAUGUAACUUCAAAGUUGAAGGUGCCAAGUUGUAAGUUUGCAAACUCUGCUGUGCUAACUGAUGUCGUUCUUUUUGCAAAUAGCAACUUACUAAUGUUCACCUACUUGGAAAUAUGUAGAAUAUUCCUGAGUUGUAGAUGCUUGUGGAUUUCAACUUGGUUAGACUGUGACUAUCCCAGAAAUGUUAAAGCUAGUGAUCGUUUUACCCAUUCAUUUAUUCCUUUAUUCCAGAACUCUCACCUCUCUGACCUGUUGUUUACCUAGCUCUCCAAUGGUUGUGAAGAUUAUUAACAGUGUUUGUAAGAUAUUUUCAGAAACUAGAAAAUAGAAAGUAAAAAGCAUUCCCUGUUACAAUUAUCUACAGGUUAAUCUGAAAUUUAUUGCCCCUUCUGCCUUCAGACCUACUGUAGGACAUGCUGUCCUUUGCCGUUCCACUUGUAGCCAAAUUCAGAGUUUUCCUAACAGGGACAGCUCCCUGUGCCUGAUGCUGUGUGGAAAUCUUAGUCUUCAGCUCCACUCUUAUCCCUCUCAGUUAUUUAUCGGUAUUUUUGAAAAUAUACAUAGCAUCACCCUGUAACAUGAUACCUGGCACAGGGUAGGAAUCCAAUGAAAGUUUCACUCUAAGUGGGAGAGUAGGUUGUUACAGUGUUUUUGGAGGGGAAUUAGAGAGUACUUUAAAAAUUGUAAGUUUGCAUAUCCUUUCCAGCAAUUCUACUUCUAGGAAUUUAAAAGUAGCUGUACUCACGCGUGAGGAUGUUCACAUUGCAGUCUCUCUGUAGCAGAGGACAAAAGUACUGAAAACAACUAAAAGUCCACCAACAUUGGACUCAUAAAUUUUGGUGAUUGUACUGAAUGGAAUAGUAUGCAAGCAUUAAAAGGAAUAGAAUGGAUGUAUGAAUAAAUGGACUGGAAAGCUGAGGGUCAGAGGUCGAUUGUAGAACAUGUAGAGUACGCUGCUUUUACAUGAAAUAGAGGAUAUGCAUAUAGGUACAAAGAAAUCUUUAUAUAAAAUAUACGAGUGAACGUAAGCACUUGGAAAAUAUCUGGAGAAGCACACAAGGAACUGGGGGAAUUGACUUCACUUUUCAUUGCAUGUCCUGCAGUGUUUGAAAUCUCAAGGCGGUGACAAGCCUGCGCUCAUCUGCAUGAGCUGUACUACCGGCCUCCGGCGAAGGAGGGCGCCGUAGCCGCCAGAGUGCUGUUCCCUGAUCGGGCUUCUCUGGCAGCCGGCCUGGUGACGUCAUCAGGCCAGGCGGUGUCGCAUGCGCUGUGGUAGGGAUUUGGGCGCUGCCUGGUUUGCUACGCAGGUUCUUGCGGUUGGGGGUCUUGUUCUGACCCCGAGGGCGCCGGACUGGGGAGUCUGUCAGUCUUGGCGGCAGGGGGGCAUCUUGGGGCCCACAUGAGGCAAUGGCUUCAUGCCCGCCGCGGCCAGGUCCGCGGACCCCUCUUUUCGGACCUUCUUCAGCCAAGAGGAAGGGCAGAAACCACGUUCCCGAAAGAGUUCGGAGAAGAAUCUUGCUCCAGAAGAAUGUUUUCACCCCUUGGAUGUUUCUAGCAAAAUCUGAGAGCAGAAUGAAGAACUUGGACUGAUUAUUGAUGUAACACACCCUCGCCACUAAUACAAACCAGAGGCCUACCUCGGAGAUCUUGCGGGUUCUGUUCCAGGUCACUGAAUAAAGUGAAUAUCGCAAUAUAAACAUUCCCUUUUAUGCCCCCCCUCCCCUGGCUCACCCCCUCCAGGUGCCCUACAAGCCUCCCAAGAUGCGACUCUGGACCCUUGGGCACAUACGUCCUGCCCUCGUGGAACAGCGACCCAGUGCUCACGUGCUCCCACCGCUCUCCUGCCCUGUGAUCGACGCUUCCAGUGGAGUUUUCUUGUGUGCUUUUGGAUGAUGGCGAUGUUUAGAGAGGGCAGAAACAGACCAGGUGGAUUGCGGAGGCCCUGGCAGGCGCCUCAAGUUAAUGUUUAUGAAGAGAUGUUUUUCCAAAGAAAAUAUACAGGUGACCAACAGGCUUAUGAAAAGAUGUUCAACGUGACUAGUUUUUAGGGAAAUGCAUUCAAAACUAAAAUGAGUUAUCACCUCCUCCCCAUCAGAAAGGCUAUUAUUAAAAAAACAAGAAAUAGCAAGUGUUGGAAGGGUGUGCAGAAAAGGGAACACUUGUAUAGUGCUGGUCAGAAUGUUAACUGGUACAGCCACUAUGGAAAGCAGUAUGGAGAUUCCUCAAAAAAGCGAAAAUAAGACUACCAUAUGAUCUAGCUAUUCCACUUCUGGGUAUUUAUCCAAAGAACAUGGAAACACGCUAAUGGGAAAAGAUA